RNAcentral lists this ribosomal RNA (592 nucleotides) under uncultured bacterium. RNAcentral's name for it is "bacterial SSU rRNA". It matches the Rfam family "Bacterial small subunit ribosomal RNA", at positions 334 to 917 of the family's 1533-position model. The record is from RNAcentral.
UACUCCUACGGGAGGCAGCAGUAGGGAAUCUUCCACAAUGGACGCAAGUCUGAUGGAGCAACGCCGCGUGAGUGAAGAAGGCUUUCGGGUCGUAAAACUCUGUUGUUGGAGAAGAAUGGUCGGCAGAGUAACUGUUGUCGGCGUGACGGUAUCCAACCAGAAAGCCACGGCUAACUACGUGCCAGCAGCCGCGGUAAUACGUAGGUGGCAAGCGUUAUCCGGAUUUAUUGGGCGUAAAGCGAGCGCAGGCGGUUUUUUAAGUCUGAUGUGAAAGCCCUCGGCUUAACCGAGGAAGUGCAUCGGAAACUGGGAAACUUGAGUGCAGAAGAGGACAGUGGAACUCCAUGUGUAGCGGUGAAAUGCGUAGAUAUAUGGAAGAACACCAGUGGCGAAGGCGGCUGUCUGGUCUGUAACUGACGCUGAGGCUCGAAAGCAUGGGUAGCGAACAGGAUUAGAUACCCUGGUAGUCCAUGCCGUAAACGAUGAAUGCUAGGUGUUGGAGGGUUUCCGCCCUUCAGUGCUGCAGCUAACGCAUUAAGCAUUCCGCCUGGGGAGUACGACCGCAAGGUUGAAACUCAAAUGAAUUGACGGA